GGAUGUGAAGGCAAUCUGGCUGCAACAUCUGUCACCCCAGCAUUGCCAGGUUGAUUGGGCUGAUCUGGCUGGCCAGGCGGGUGUCCUUUCCCUCCCUCACUGCCCCGUCUGUGUCCCUCCCGAAGCUACAUGCUUGGUUGAAGAGGACGACCUUCCCUGAUAGAGAAGGACUAUUCUUCAUUCACAGGUAUAUACAUAGCUGCACUCCCUGCUAGAAGCUCCAAACCAUCUCUCAAGAUGUGGUGUUUUGUUAGCACAGCAAAGCCUAACCUGUCCUAAUACCUGGGCUGAAGGGAAAGCUC
Cercocebus atys (sooty mangabey) is the source of this 302-nucleotide unclassified non-coding RNA. Its record names the gene 7SK. It matches the Rfam family "7SK RNA". From Rfam's summary of the family: 7SK was discovered as an abundant small nuclear RNA in the mid-70s but a possible function has only recently been suggested. Two independent studies have found that 7SK RNA binds the CDK9/cyclin T complex (known as elongation factor P-TEFb). Lineage: Eukaryota; Metazoa; Chordata; Mammalia; Primates; Cercopithecidae. The record is from Ensembl.